AAAAAACAAAGAACACUUCUUGGCUGUAUUCUUCAGAGCUGGGUUGCAUCCGAAGCCACGGGAGCCCUGUGACCUUCGCCUCCUCUGUCGUGAUGGGAAAGGACAUCAUGAUGACCAUUACUUCUGAAACAGACUCUUGCAAAGGAAGAAGUGAUUGCCAUUUCUCCUAGACUCAGUUUUUUUUUCAAAAAUCACACACACAUAGCGUGUGUUAUUAGUAUUUACAUUACAAAGUAGGAUAAAAUCUGCUGACCGAAUACCUGGGAUAUGUGUGAUCCCAGACCAGUUUUAAAAACAGAGGGCGAUUUCUGGAGAUGAGUACUGCUGGCCAUGAAGUCACAGGGGUGGAGGAUGUCCUGGUGUGUGCUGACUUCACCCCUUCCAAAGGGCGAUCAACAAGUGGCAGCAACAAAGGGGAGGACACAAGAGCAGAAUUUGCGAUGGGAAAAAACACCAUCUGUGAUAAACCGAAGCUCUGGGUGUCUGCUUUCGGAGGGCAAAGUGUGAGAGGAGCGGCUGAGGCCCCUCGGCGUGCUCAGCGCAGAGCAGAGGAGCUGAGGGGAGGCCUCAUGGCGGCCGCAGCUCCUCACAGGGAGCGGAGGGGCAGCGCUGAGCUCUGCUCUGUGUGACAGCGACAGGGCCCGAGGGAACGGCAUGGAGCUGUCAGGGGAGGGGCAGCUGGGGGUGAGGGAAAGGGGCUGCACCAGAGGGCGGUGGGCAUGGAACGGGCUGCCCAGGGCUGUGGGCACGGCCCCCAGUGCCGGAGUUCAAGGGGCCCUCAUACUCUGGGUUUGAAUGCCGAGGUGCCCUGCGUGCAGCUCCAGCUCCGCACCGCCAGGUGGCAGCAGGCCUUCUCCUAUCGGCUGCUCGCCGUGGCUUCGGGGUUUUUGAUGUUGUCGGUAAUCGUUAAUUAAAAAUGAGCUCCGACUUCUCUGCCGAGGCUCCCUCGAGGUCUCCAGAGGAACAGUCUGGGAUGCUCACUGAACAUCCAUCUGCUCAGCAGCAGUGCUCGCAAGUGUUUCACCGGGACAGAAGAGACUCUGGAAGCUGAAGGGCUGCAACUGCAAGCCUGCGCGUUUGGACUGCUGAGCCAGCAGAGAAGUGGGCGAGGAGAAGCGAGACGGACCCUUGGAUGCCAACAUGCAGGUGCAGACCUUUCCGCUGUAAGCCCCAUAACCACAAGCCAGCCCAAAAGGACAGUUGGUACUGCGGACAUAACUGAGUGAAGUACAGCAUCGUGAAACUGCAGGAACGCUGUGACAGAAUAAUCUCAUACCAUUCAUCAGAAAAGGCGCUAAGGCAGCAAUGUGGAUGUCCAGCCCAGUGGAAAUGGUUUCGCAUGAUCUCUGAACUGGACGAAACAUUGGCAAGGGGUGCUGGCAACUGAUGGCAAAGGGUUGGUCACGUAUCCCACCGCCAGGUGUGUGCUGAGCAUCCUGCACGACCUCGUGGUUGUCACAGCAGCACAGGGACUGCACUGACUGAGGACCCACAGACCAACGUGAGACCCCUUCUCACACCUGCUGUAAAUGGAUGCCACGUGAAGAGUGCUGAGCGUAAGAUUCCUUGGGUUUCUCACAGGAUGCAAAGAGCCACCUCCAUGUUUACAGCACUGGAAUUGUAAGAUUUUCACCCUUCGGUCAUUUUUUUCCUUGAUUUUAUCGCAAGUUUUCUAUUACGGAGUACUCUUCCUAAGGAUACUUUACAUAAAAGACAAAAUAAAUGUAAUUGCAUCCAGAAAAUGCUCACGUGUGGUCAGAUGCUGUUAAGAUCACACUAAUUCUUGUGGAAAUUUUGUUCACUAUUUGUUUCUGAUGAGCACAGGGAUUGACAGCAUCCCUUAAAGACAUGAAAACAAAUAACUCCCUUUCAAGCACAGUCAGUAUUCCUUGCGCUGUGCUGGCACAGUGCAUCCCCUGGAUGAGUAUGCAGUGCUGGAUGGCUGCCUCUUCACCUGCAGGGCUUAUGGAGCCCUCACCUUGCUCAGAUUACCUGAGGGUAAUUUCUGGACUGGUUUGUGGCUUUGGGAUGAGGAAUUCAGCUCUCAUCACCGCACGUAGCCUGUGGGAAUGAGCAGGCAUAUGGAAUUAGGCUGCUGGGAGCAGAAGGCACCAAGUGAGCUUUCAAAUGCUCCAUCAGCAGUCAAACAGCAUUUUUCACCUCUACAUCCCUUACUUCCCAAAUCGUGGUUUAUAUUCAUGCACAUUAUCCGUGUAUCUGUAGUAACAAAAUGACUACACAUUUUGUUUCCUCACCUACCUUGGGAAUUACCUCCUGAAUGGACUAAGUACUCCGAUAACAAGAAAAAAAUACUGCUGUCGAUAUGUAAAGGAAGUGUAUAAAUACUUCUGAGUUAACCAUGGUUGAAAUAGCCUUAAUCCAAAUCAGAUGUGUUUUUUUUUGUUUGUUUGUUUGUUUGCAUUGCAAAAGUCAAAAUGAGGAAGGAGUAACUGGGAGCAAAGAAGUCUCUGUAUGUCCUCUGAUGCCAGCUGUGGUGCUGCGAGCUUUAGAUCUGUGUUUUUUCCCCUCAUCUUUAAUUAAGCUUAAUGAUAAUGUGUGAUUUCUCAAGUGUAUUUUAAUGGUGUAGGUUGCUCCAGGUGAAUAAAAAAUAUUGCACAGCUGUUACAGGGCUCUGCCUUCCCUGGGCAUGGGAGCAGCGCUGCACUGUAAGCGUUACUCUGUUAUCUGCAGCUAACUGUUAGAAAUGCUCUUCCAAGCAACAAGAUGCCUUCUUCCCAACUUAUCGGUGACGCUGCGUGUCAAUGGGUUAUUCAAAAGAAGUGCCACUUACAGUUCUGCUGAACUAAAGUGCAGAUGACAGGAAAAAUCAGUGCUUUCCAAACUGAAACAAAAUACCUUCGGUUCCUGCUUGCUGUGCAUCGUGAAUCUGUUUGCACCCCACCAGAAGCCAAGCGAGCAGAAUUUGAUUCAAUACAACUAACAGGAUGUGUUAUUUUCAGGUUCAUGAACAAGAACUGUUGGUUCAUUCUUCUUCCUUUCUCCUUUUCUCUUCAACUGCUGAUUCAUUUUCAGCUAUAAAUCAUCCUGGCUGGAAAUUCUGUGUAAGCCAUUAGAAAUGAAGACACAAAGUGACCAGCUGAAAAGCCAAGGAGCUGCAGUUUGACAUGCUUUCAAUACUGUAAAUGCUAAUACAACCUGAACAACUUCAGUGCAACAACUACUGCUCUGCUAAUUAAGCAACUUUUUAAUGGGACACUUUGAAGCCAGUAGGUAUAUAUUUAUUUCACAAUCGAAACAUCUCUGAAGUCCAGGUGGCAUUAAAUUUUGCAUGAGCUUCUGGUAAAUUACAGAACUUAUUUUCCUUUAAAAGCUGUAGAAAGAAAAUUUCAGGGGGGGGAAAAAAAAGGUGCAUGCGUGUUUCUCUAAUAAGAGAGUUCUGAUUCAGGACAGAUAAUCUCCAGGACAGAUAAUCUCUUUUUACGUAAUCAUGAGAGCGGGCAGAAAAAAAAUGCCCCCGAUGUAAAGCAUGUACAUUAAUCAAACUGUGUGCAACCUGAGCUGCUGAGGAAGCAACAGAGAGUUGCAGCGGGCAAAAAAGCAUUGUAAUUCAUAUUGAUCAAAAGGAACCAUCGUAUGUCUGUUUGGCUAAGUCGCACAGGUCACUUUCUGAGGGCAAAAUGAAGUAAUGAUACUGUAACUAACAUAUUUAAUUUGUUUUUCGUUUCUCCCCCUCAGCCUUUCAAACCAUUCAUUAAGUCUCUGGAGGCUACAUAUAUAGCUGUAUUCCUUGCUCUGUUGAACGCUCCUAAUUUUGAUUCAUUCUGUUGGCAUUUUAAGCUGAAGGCAAAAAUACAUACAUAUACAUAAAAGGGUUAUUGCAAAGUCUUCGUUGUCUUCUUGGGAAUGUGCCUGCCUGCCCAAACCUUGGGAGCAACUUCCUUUUUUGUUAUUAUUCACAUUCCUUCCCUAUUCUAUCUCUCAGUUCACGCCUCCAAUUAAAAGGAUAAUCCAGUUCUGAUCUUCACAUUUUUAUUUCACAUCCUAAGAGGCACUUGAAACAAGCACAUGAUAAUCACAUUACAUAAAUCUUACUUGUAUGCAUUGUACAUGUUUCUGUCAACGUGCUAGUGAUACUCAGUGUGGUUCUAGAACGUUUGCAUACAAAUUAUAUUGCCAGUCACUCCUCACCCUAUUACAUAAACAAUUCACAGAACCAUAGAAUCACAGGAUGGCUGAGGCUGGCAGGGAUACCUGCAUCCCUCUGGCCCAAUUGCUCUCCAGCAGGGCCACCCAGAGCGGGGUGCUCAGACCCACG
RNAcentral lists this long non-coding RNA (4276 nucleotides) under Gallus gallus (chicken). RNAcentral describes it as "lncRNA (ENSGALG00010016386.1)". Lineage: Eukaryota; Metazoa; Chordata; Aves; Galliformes; Phasianidae. The record is from RNAcentral.